Molecule: ribosomal RNA, 253 nt
Filed under: uncultured bacterium
Lineage: Bacteria
Description: partial 16S ribosomal RNA
Rfam family: Bacterial small subunit ribosomal RNA
Source: RNAcentral
UACGUAGGGUGCGAGCGUUAAUCGGAAUUACUGGGCGUAAAGCGUGCGCAGGCGGUUCGACAAGUCCGAUGUGAAAGCCCCGGGCUCAACCUGGGAAUGGCAUUGGAAACUGGCGGGCUGGAGUGUGGCAGAGGGGGGUGGAAUUCCGCGUGUAGCAGUGAAAUGCGUAGAGAUGCGGAGGAACACCGAUGGCGAAGGCAGCCCCCUGGGCUGACACUGACGCUCAGGCACGAAAGCGUGGGGAGCAAACAGG